RNAcentral lists this ribosomal RNA (253 nucleotides) under uncultured bacterium. RNAcentral's name for it is "partial 16S ribosomal RNA". It matches the Rfam family "Bacterial small subunit ribosomal RNA", at positions 524 to 776 of the family's 1533-position model. The record is from RNAcentral.
UACGUAGGGACCGAGCGUUGUCCGGAAUCAUUGGGCGUAAAGCGCACGUAGGUGGAUACUUAAGUCGGAUGUGAAAGCCCUGGGCUUAACCUGGGAAUUGCGUCCGAUACUGGGUGUCUAGAGUAUGGUAGAGGGAAGUGGAAUUUCCGGUGUAGCGGUGAAAUGCGUAGAUAUCGGAAAGAACACCAGUGGCGAAGGCGGCUUCCUGGACCAAUACUGACACUGAGACGCGAAAGCGUGGGGAGCGAACAGG